This is a long non-coding RNA of Mastomys coucha (southern multimammate mouse), 589 nucleotides long. RefSeq lists it as uncharacterized. The transcript is spliced from 2 exons. Lineage: Eukaryota; Metazoa; Chordata; Mammalia; Rodentia; Muridae. The record is from RefSeq and is a predicted model, not a curated record.
ACACAUUCCCUAAUGCCUACAGCAUCCCAUUGGUGGCCUCCCACUGAGCAUGCACAGACCUGGGAUGGACAAGCUUCGUGGAUAGAUUGAUGCAGUCUCUCUGCCCCUCCCCUCCAAUGAAUCCCUGAAUGGAAGAAACUGAGACCUGAUGCAGUCCAGGACUCUGUCACAUACAUGCCAAAAUCAGCCAAUCUGAAGAAUGGCUGGCCAUGUCCACUGGGCUGGUGGAUUCCUGACUGCAGCCUCUAAAGAGGGAGAAGUACCCAUCCUCUACUGAACCUCUUCACUCUUGUGCUACCUGCAGAACCACUGGAUACCUUCCUUCCCCUCUAAAGCAGAGAGCCGAAUGCCAGCAUUUUGUCUGUGUGAACCUCUGUCAUGAUGACAACUGCUCUUCUGUACCUUCCUUGCCGUCAGAGACUGAGUGUUUUAAAACCAUGUUCAAAAAGAAGUCCUCCCAUGUUUCUGGGGGUGGGGGAGGGGGGUGAGGGGAGGCACAGAGAUACAAUGUAACCAGUAUAGUAAGAAGUAGUAGCAUGUAUACUUGCAGGAGAAACAAUGAAAGUCAAGACAUUUAUCUCAUUCCCAA